This 536-nucleotide ribosomal RNA is filed under the name Spinicallianassa aff. acutirostella MNHN IU 2013-7064. Its description in RNAcentral is "partial large subunit ribosomal RNA". Lineage: Eukaryota; Metazoa; Arthropoda; Malacostraca; Decapoda; Callianassidae. The record is from RNAcentral.
GUCUGGUUGAAUUUCUUAAACCAGUCUAACCUGCCCACUGAAAUUUUAAAGGCCGCGGUAUCAUGACCGUGCGAAGGUAGCAUAAUAAUUAGUCUUUUAAUUGAAGACUGGAAUGAAAGGUUGGACAAAAAGUUAUCUGUCCCUAAAUUAACAAUUUAACUUAACAUUUAAGUGAAAAGGCUUAAAUAACCUUAAAAGACGACAAGACCCUGUAAAACUUUAUAUAAUAAUUAUUAUUUUUUAAUUAUAAGUUCAUUUAAAAUUUUAAUAAAUUGUAUUACGUUGGGGCGACGAAAGCAUAUUUAAACCUGCUUUUUAAAUAACACAAUUAUYUUUGUAAUARAUGACCCUUAAAUAAGAACAAAAGUAGAAGUUACUUCAGGGAUAACAGCGUUAUUUUUUUUAAGAGUCCUUAUCGACAAAAAAGUUUGCGACCUCGAUGUUGAAUUAAAAUUUCAUCACAUAUGCAGUAGUUGUGAAGGUAGGUCUGUUCGACCUUUAAAAUUUUACAUGAUUUGAGUUCAAACCGGUGUAAG